Molecule: ribosomal RNA, 448 nt
Filed under: uncultured bacterium
Lineage: Bacteria
Description: partial 16S ribosomal RNA
Rfam family: Bacterial small subunit ribosomal RNA
Source: RNAcentral
UGCCAGACUCCUACGGGAGGCAGCAGUGGGGAAUAUUGCACAAUGGGGGAAACCCUGAUGCAGCGACGCCGCGUGAAGGAAGAAGUAUUUCGGUAUGUAAACUUCUAUCAGCAGGGAAGAAAAUGACGGUACCUGACUAAGAAGCCCCGGCUAACUACGUGCCAGCGGCCGCGGUAAUACGUAGGGGGCAAGCGUUAUCCGGAUUUACUGGGUGUAAAGGGAGCGUAGGCGGUGAUGCAAGUCAGAAGUGAAAGCCCGCAGCUCAACUGCGGGACUGCUUUUGAAACUGUAUGACUAGAUUGCAGGAGAGGUAAGUGGAAUUCCUAGUGUAGCGGUGAAAUGCGUAGAUAUACGGAGGAACACCAGUGGCGAAGGCGGCCUGCUGGACAUUAACUGACGCUGAGGCGCGAAAGCGUGGGGAGCAAACAGGAUUAGAUACCCGAGUAAA